UGAGGAAUAUUGGUCAAUGGAGGCAACUCUGAACCAGCCAAGUCGCGUGAAGGAUGACGGCCCUACGGGUUGUAAACUUCUUUUUUAAGGGAAUAAAGUGAGCCACGUGUGGCUUUUUGCAAGUACCUUACGAAUAAGGAUCGGCUAACUCCGUGCCAGCAGCCGCGGUAAUACGGAGGAUCCGAGCGUUAUCCGGAUUUAUUGGGUUUAAAGGGUGCGCAGGCGGAAGAUUAAGUCAGCGGUGAAAGUUUGCAGCUCAACUGUAAAAUUGCCGUUGAAACUGGUUUUCUUGAGUGUAUAUGAAGUAGGCGGAAUUUGUAGUGUAGCGGUGAAAUGCAUAGAUAUUACAAGGAACUCCAAUUGCGAAGGCAGCUUACCAAGCUACAACUGACACUGAAGCACGAAAGCGUGGGGAUCAAACAGG
RNAcentral lists this ribosomal RNA (424 nucleotides) under uncultured prokaryote. Its description in RNAcentral is "bacterial SSU rRNA". It matches the Rfam family "Bacterial small subunit ribosomal RNA", at positions 355 to 776 of the family's 1533-position model. RNAcentral also lists the same sequence under 1 other name. The record is from RNAcentral.